This 492-nucleotide ribosomal RNA is filed under the name uncultured bacterium. RNAcentral's name for it is "partial 16S ribosomal RNA". It matches the Rfam family "Bacterial small subunit ribosomal RNA", at positions 30 to 507 of the family's 1533-position model. The record is from RNAcentral.
AGUGAACGCUGGCGGUAGGCCUAACACAUGCAAGUCGAACGGCAGCACAGUAAGAGGUUGCUCUUACGGGUGGCGAGUGGCGGACGGGUGAGGUAGACAUCGGAUUCUACUUUUUCGUGGGGGAUAACGUAGGGAAACUUACGCUAAUACCGCAUACGACCUACGGGUGAAAGCAGGGGAUCUUCGGGCCUUGCGGGAGUGUAUGAGCCGAUGUCGGAUUAGCUAGUUGGCGGGGUAAAGGCGCACCAAGGCGACGAUGCGUAGCGGGUCUGAGAGGGUGAAUCCCUACAUGGGAAGUGAGAAAGGGCCCAGACUCUGACGGUAAGAAGCAGUGGGGAAUAUUGGACGAGGGGCGAGAGGCGGAUCCAGCAAUACCGCGGGAGUGAUGAAGGCCCUAGGCUGCGAAAGCCAUGUUGGUGUGAAAGAAAUGCAGCACGUUAAUACCCCGCUGUACUGACGGUACCCAAAGAAUAAGCACCGGCUAACUCCGUG